This 77-nucleotide transfer RNA is filed under the name bacterium. RNAcentral's name for it is "tRNA-Gly". It matches the Rfam family "tRNA". Rfam says of the family: Transfer RNA (tRNA) molecules are approximately 80 nucleotides in length. Their secondary structure includes four short double-helical elements and three loops (D, anti-codon, and T loops). Further hydrogen bonds mediate the characteristic L-shaped molecular structure. tRNAs have two regions of fundamental functional importance: the anti-codon, which is responsible for specific mRNA codon recognition, and the 3' end, to which the tRNAs corresponding amino acid is attached (by aminoacyl-tRNA synthetases). tRNAs cope with the degeneracy of the genetic code in two manners: having more than one tRNA (with a specific anti-codon) for a particular amino acid; and 'wobble' base-pairing, i.e. permitting non-standard base-pairing at the 3rd anti-codon position. The record is from RNAcentral.
GCGGGAAUAGCUCAAUUGGCUAGAGCGACAGCCUUCCAAGCUGUAGGCUGCGGGUUCGAGUCCCGCUUUCCGCACCA